UACGUAGGUGGCAAGCGUUGUCCGGAAUUAUUGGGCGUAAAGCGCGCGCAGGCGGUUCCUUAAGUCUGAUGUGAAAGCCCACGGCUCAACCGUGGAGGGUCAUUGGAAGCUGGGGAACUUGAGUGCAGGAGAGAAGAGUGGAAUUCCACGUGUAGCGGUGAAAUGCGUAGAGAUGUGGAGGAACACCAGUGGCGAAGGCGACUCUUUGGCCUGUAACUGACGCUGAGGCGCGAAAGCGUGGGGAGCAAACAGG
RNAcentral lists this ribosomal RNA (253 nucleotides) under uncultured bacterium. RNAcentral describes it as "partial 16S ribosomal RNA". It matches the Rfam family "Bacterial small subunit ribosomal RNA", at positions 524 to 776 of the family's 1533-position model. The record is from RNAcentral.